RNAcentral lists this ribosomal RNA (3168 nucleotides) under Arthrobacter psychrochitiniphilus. Its description in RNAcentral is "23S ribosomal RNA". It matches the Rfam family "Bacterial large subunit ribosomal RNA". Lineage: Bacteria; Bacillati; Actinomycetota; Actinomycetes; Micrococcales; Micrococcaceae. The record is from RNAcentral.
GGUCAAGUUUUUAAGGGCACACGGUGGAUGCCUUGGCAUUAGGAGCCGAAGAAGGACGUAGGAAUCUGCGAUAAGCCUCGGGGAGUUGAUAACCAAACUUUGAUCCGAGGGUGUCCGAAUGGGGGAACCCCGCUACCCGGUGUAAGCCGAGGUGGUGACCUGCACCUGAAUAUAUAGGGUGUGUGGAGGGAACGUGGGGAAGUGAAACAUCUCAGUACCCACAGGAAGAGAAAACAAUAGUGAUUCCGUUAGUAGUGGCGAGCGAACGCGGAUCAGGCUAAACCGUGUCAUGUGUGAUAGCCGGCGGGCGUUGCAUGGUGCGGGGUUGUGGGACUUACCGAUCUAGUUCUGCCGGACUAGGAAGGGGAAUGGUGCAUGUAUAGGUGAACGGUUUUGAAUGGCCGACCGUAGAGGGUGAGAGUCCCGUAACUGAAAUGCAGUGCACUCCCUGGUGAGUAUCCCAAGUAGCACGGGGCCCGAGAAAUCCCGUGUGAAUCUGUCAGGACCACCUGAUAAGCCUAAAUACUACCUAAUGACCGAUAGCGGACAAGUACCGUGAGGGAAAGGUGAAAAGUACCCCGGGAGGGGAGUGAAAUAGUACCUGAAACCGUGUGCUUACAAUCCGUCAGAGCAAGCGUGCCCCUUUGGGGGUAGUUGUUCUUGUGAUGGCGUGCCUUUUGAAGAAUGAGCCUGCGAGUUAGUGUUACGUCGCGAGGUUAACCCGUGUGGGGAAGCCGUAGCGAAAGCGAGUCUGAAUAGGGCGAGUUUAGUGGCGUGAUCUAGACCCGAAGCGAAGUGAUCUACCCAUGGCCAGGUUGAAGCGCGUGUAAGAGCGCGUGGAGGACCGAACCCACUUCAGUUGAAAAUGGAGGGGAUGAGCUGUGGGUAGGGGUGAAAGGCCAAUCAAACUUCGUGAUAGCUGGUUCUCCCCGAAAUGCAUUUAGGUGCAGCGUUGCGUGUUUCUUACUGGAGGUAGAGCUACUGGAUGGCUAAUGGGCCCUACAAGGUUACUGACGUCAGCCAAACUCCGAAUGCCGGUAAGUCAGAGCGUAGCAGUGAGACUGUGGGGGAUAAGCUUCAUAGUCGAGAGGGAAACAGCCCAGACCACCAACUAAGGCCCCUAAGCGUGUGCUAAGUGGGAAAGGAUGUGGGAUUGCUUAGACAACCAGGAGGUUGGCUUAGAAGCAGCCAUCCUUAAAAGAGUGCGUAAUAGCUCACUGGUCAAGUGAUUCCGCGCCGACAAUGUAGCGGGGCUCAAGUACACCGCCGAAGUUGUGGAUUUCAAACAUUACCCUAACAAGACUUGUUCUUGUUCAGGGGUUUGGAGUGGUAGGGGAGCGUCGUGUAGGCAUUGAAGCCGCAGUGUGAACUAGCGGUGGAGCCUACACGAGUGAGAAUGCAGGCAUGAGUAGCGAAAGACGGGUGAGAAACCCGUCCGCCGAAUGAUCAAGGGUUCCAGGGUCAAGCUAAUCUGCCCUGGGUAAGUCGGGACCUAAGGCGAGGCCGACAGGCGUAGUCGAUGGACAACGGGUUGAUAUUCCCGUACCGGUGAAGAACCGCCAAUAUUGAACCAGUGAUACUAACCACCCAAAACACCACUGCGUGUCCUUCGGGACCAGGGUGUGUGUGGAGCGUGGGAUCUGAACUGGGGAGGUAAACGUAUUAACAGGUGUGACGCAGGAAGGUAGCCGAGCCGGGCGAUGGUAGUCCCGGUCUAAGGACGUAGGAAACACGAUAGGCAAAUCCGUUGUGUUGUCUUCAAUGACGAUUCUGAGAUCUGAUGGGACCCCCUUACGGGGGAAUUCGGUGAUCCUAUGCUGCCUAGAAAAGCAUCGACGUGAGGUUCUAACUGCCCGUACCCCAAACCGACACAGGUGAUCAGGUAGAGAAUACUAAGGCGAUCGAGAGAAUUAUGGUUAAGGAACUCGGCAAAAUGCCCCCGUAACUUCGGGAGAAGGGGGGCCUGCCUCGUGAAGGACACUAGCUGUCCGUGAGCGAGUGUGGGCCGCAGAGACCAGGGGGAAGCGACUGUUUACUAAAAACACAGGUCCGUGCGAAGUCGCAAGACGAUGUAUACGGACUGACUCCUGCCCGGUGCUGGAAGGUUAAGAGGACCGGUUAGCACACUUGUGUGCGAAGCUGAGAAUUUAAGCCCCAGUAAACGGCGGUGGUAACUAUAACCAUCCUAAGGUAGCGAAAUUCCUUGUCGGGUAAGUUCCGACCUGCACGAAUGGAGUAACGACUUCCCCGCUGUCUCAACCAUAAACUCGGCGAAAUUGCAGUACGAGUAAAGAUGCUCGUUACGCGCAGCAGGACGGAAAGACCCCGAGACCUUUACUAUAGUUUGGUAUUGGUGUUCGGAGUGGCUUGUGUAGGAUAGGUGGGAGACUGUGAAACCGCAACGCUAGUUGUGGUGGAGUCAUCGUUGAAAUACCACUCUGGUCACUUUGGACAUCUAACUUCGGCCCGUAAUCCGGGUCAGGGACAGUGCCUGAUGGGUAGUUUAACUGGGGCGGUUGCCUCCUAAAAAGUAACGGAGGCGCCCAAAGGUUCCCUCAGCCUGGUUGGCAAUCAGGUUUCGAGUGUAAGUGCACAAGGGAGCUUGACUGUGAGAGGGACACCUCGAGCAGGGACGAAAGUCGGGACUAGUGAUCCGGCGGCACAUUGUGGAAUGGCCGUCGCUCAACGGAUAAAAGGUACCUCGGGGAUAACAGGCUGAUCUUGCCCAAGAGUCCAUAUCGACGGCAUGGUUUGGCACCUCGAUGUCGGCUCGUCGCAUCCUGGGGCUGGAGUAGGUCCCAAGGGUUGGGCUGUUCGCCCAUUAAAGCGGUACGCGAGCUGGGUUUAGAACGUCGUGAGACAGUUCGGUCCCUAUCCGCUGCGCGCGCAGGAAAUUUGAGAAGAGCUGUCCUUAGUACGAGAGGACCGGGACGGACGAACCUCUGGUGUGUCAGUUGUACUGCCAAGUGCAUCGCUGAUUAGCUACGUUCGGAAGGGAUAACCGCUGAAAGCAUCUAAGCGGGAAGCCCACUUCAAGAUGAGAUUUCCAUACACAGUUAUGUGUGAGAGGCCCCCAGCUAGACCACUGGGUUGAUAGGCCGGACGUGGAAGCGAGGACUAAAGACUCGUGAAGCUGACCGGUACUAAUAGGCCGAUAACUUACACCAC